CCCGCUGGGGGGGCAGCACUCCCCGCUGGGGGGGGGAGCGAUCCCCGCUGGGGGGGGAGCGAUCCCCGCUGGGGGGGCAGCACUCCCCCGCUGGGGGGGCCCAGGCGGGCCCGGGCCUGCGGCGGGGUUAAUGCCCAGGCGCCGAGCUGAACGCCUCGGGCGCUCAGGAGAAAAACCGCUCAUCCCGGCCUUAAUGCAGGCGGCGCACCCUUACAGGACCGAUCCCCUCAUAAAAAAAACCCAACUAUAUAUUUGUAAAAAUAAGAUGGUACCCGAGCCCCUCUCGCCCCGAGGCGCGGCCGCGCAAGGCGGCAGGCCCCAGCUGAUGGCGGCGGCCGCGGCUCCGCCCUCUUCCGCCUUGGCCGCGGCGGCGGCGCCCCCUGGCGGCUGCGCGGGGUGCGGGCGGCCCCCGCCUCGGGGUGGUCAUCGCCCUCCGGUGAUGGGGUACCGCAGCGCCAGGGGGGGUUGGCUCCGGGCUGGUGGUGUUUGUUUUUUGGGUUUUUUUCUGACUAAAAUGACGUUAAAUACCAGCGGGUUUUUACUAGAAAUCGCGCAAACUUUCCUCAAAAAUCACCGAUGGCGUCUGGGGCCGUGAAAUAAGCCGGGGGAGGGAAUCCUCCUGCUUUCACCUGCAGGGAGCGGGUCCCUCGCUUCAUCUGCCGAAACACCCUCGGCGGUGGCUCAGCGCCCGCGGCGCAGACACGGACACGGAAAUGGACAGGGACAGGAACACGGACACCGACACGGGCACAGACACGGAGGCGGCAGUACCUCCCGCCCGCCGCCAGGGGGCAGCGCCGGCGCGGGCCGGGCCGGGGGCUGCGCGCGCAGCGCCUCGGCGGCGUCAGGGCGGGCGGGGGCGGUGCGUCCCCUCAUGGCGGCCCGGGGGCUGAGGGAGCCGGCGUGCUCCAUUGCUGUUUUCUCCACUACGAAGAGCAGCAAAGAAUGAGUGGCGUUGGGGCCCAUGAGAGACGAUGAGAUCACUUCAAAAGGGAGGAGAGAGAGAAUGAAAAUUAACUUCUCUGCUCUCAUCCUGAUUUUUCAUGUAAAAAGGUCAAAUGCAGUGUGAAGGCAAUGUGAAAAUCUUAACUGCCAAGGCAUCUGGGCUGUGUCAGAAAGACUUGCUGCUCUCUGCUUUCUUGGAGCUAAAAGAAAAUUCAGGUGUGGAACAGAAGAUACUUGUGUUCCCUGACAAGGAAGGAAACACUGAAAACAUGUAAUUUCCAGCAGGUGACAAUGGCAGGCAAAGACACGAAGGAUUCGCUUAAAAUCUGUUGGGGGGGCCUUAGCCCCUCCACUGAGCACUGCAAACAUGCUUCCUUUUCUAGGAAAUUAAAAUCUUAACAAACA
Molecule: long non-coding RNA, 1350 nt
Organism: Falco peregrinus (peregrine falcon)
Lineage: Eukaryota; Metazoa; Chordata; Aves; Falconiformes; Falconidae
Exons: 4
Source: RefSeq, a predicted model, not a curated record